Molecule: long non-coding RNA, 660 nt
Organism: Canis lupus familiaris (dog)
Lineage: Eukaryota; Metazoa; Chordata; Mammalia; Carnivora; Canidae
Exons: 2
Source: RefSeq, a predicted model, not a curated record
AUGAAACAUUAGGAGCAUUUCUCUUUCUAGGCAUAUCUGCAUAAAAUGAAUCGGAACAGUAAGGAUGGAAGAAAAGGAUACAAGAUGCAACAAUUCAUCUUCUAUUUUGGAGGGCAUUCUGAACGUGUCCUUGACAACUGAGGCCCUAAACCCUGUACUGAAGUAACAGGUCCCUCAACCUCCAGAGUGUUUACCUGCCACCCCGUAGCACAUGUGCCUUGCCAAGGCCUCCAGCAUAGCAGCCACCUCUCGCUCACCACGGCACGCUGUCAUUGAUGUAAUGGAUCAACGUGAUGUUCUACAGGACGUCCAGGUGAAGCCAAAGCUCUCUGACGCAUUCAGCUCCUGGAAAAACUGUGAAUGUGUGUUAGUGUCCAUAAAAGGAGAAUACGAAUGGUUUCCGAGCCUCUUCCCUGACUGAGAUAGAAUACAGCCACCGAAUCAAUGACGUAUUCACCUUCUGCGGCGUCAACACCACAUCCUGGGCAGCAGCUUCAGUGCGACUACUACUUGUCUGAAAUUGCAGUCGUCCAGACUUCCUCUCCGGGUCCACCUGGUCUCUGCAGAAGCCAAACUGGCAAAUUAACUGUGAUUAUAGUUGGAACUGGUACCCUGCAUUUUAGAUCUUGAUGAUACACUACUGUUCCUUACUUCCCCUCA